This 500-nucleotide ribosomal RNA is filed under the name uncultured bacterium. Its description in RNAcentral is "partial 16S ribosomal RNA". It matches the Rfam family "Bacterial small subunit ribosomal RNA", at positions 30 to 523 of the family's 1533-position model. The record is from RNAcentral.
AUUGAACGCUGGCGGCAUGCUUUACACAUGCAAGUCGAACGGUAACAGGGAGCUUGCUCCGCUGACGAGUGGCGAACGGGUGAGUAAUAUAUCGGAACGUACCCAAGAGUGGGGGAUAACGUAGCGAAAGUUACGCUAAUACCGCAUACGAUCUAUGGAUGAAAGCAGGGGACCUUCGGGCCUUGUGCUCCUGGAGCGGCCGAUAUCUGAUUAGCUAGUUGGUGAGGUAAAGGCUCACCAAGGCGACGAUCAGUAGCUGGUCUGAGAGGACGACCAGCCACACUGGAACCGAGACACGGUCCAGACUCCUACGGGAGGCAGCAGUGGGGAAUUUUGGACAAUGGGCGCAAGCCUGAUCCAGCAAUGCCGCGUGAGUGAAGAAGGCCUUCGGGUUGUAAAGCUCUUUUGUCAGGGAAGAAACGGCUGUGGCUAAUAUCCACGGCUAAUGACGGUACCUGAAGAAUAAGCACCGGCUAACUACGUGCCAGCCGCCGCGGUAA